GGUCUCGUAGCUCAGUUGGUAAAGCGUGCUCGUACAAAGCGUAGGCGGCGUCCAUGUGUGGGUUCGAAUUCCACCGAGGCUA
RNAcentral lists this transfer RNA (82 nucleotides) under Echinostoma caproni. It matches the Rfam family "tRNA". Rfam says of the family: Transfer RNA (tRNA) molecules are approximately 80 nucleotides in length. Their secondary structure includes four short double-helical elements and three loops (D, anti-codon, and T loops). Lineage: Eukaryota; Metazoa; Platyhelminthes; Trematoda; Plagiorchiida; Echinostomatidae. The record is from Rfam by way of RNAcentral.